This 916-nucleotide ribosomal RNA is filed under the name Escherichia coli. RNAcentral's name for it is "partial 23S ribosomal RNA". It matches the Rfam family "Bacterial large subunit ribosomal RNA", at positions 614 to 1535 of the family's 2925-position model. Lineage: Bacteria; Pseudomonadati; Pseudomonadota; Gammaproteobacteria; Enterobacterales; Enterobacteriaceae. The record is from RNAcentral.
AAUGGGUCAGCGACUUAUAUUCUGUAGCAAGGUUAACCGAAUAGGGGAGCCGAAGGGAAACCGAGUCUUAACUGGGCGUUAAGUUGCAGGGUAUAGACCCGAAACCCGGUGAUCUAGCCAUGGGCAGGUUGAAGGUUGGGUAACACUAACUGGAGGACCGAACCGACUAAUGUUGAAAAAUUAGCGGAUGACUUGUGGCUGGGGGUGAAAGGCCAAUCAAACCGGGAGAUAGCUGGUUCUCCCCGAAAGCUAUUUAGGUAGCGCCUCGUGAAUUCAUCUCCGGGGGUAGAGCACUGUUUCGGCAAGGGGGUCAUCCCGACUUACCAACCCGAUGCAAACUGCGAAUACCGGAGAAUGUUAUCACGGGAGACACACGGCGGGUGCUAACGUCCGUCGUGAAGAGGGAAACAACCCAGACCGCCAGCUAAGGUCCCAAAGUCAUGGUUAAGUGGGAAACGAUGUGGGAAGGCCCAGACAGCCAGGAUGUUGGCUUAGAAGCAGCCAUCAUUUAAAGAAAGCGUAAUAGCUCACUGGUCGAGUCGGCCUGCGCGGAAGAUGUAACGGGGCUAAACCAUGCACCGAAGCUGCGGCAGCGACACUGUGUGUUGUUGGGUAGGGGAGCGUUCUGUAAGCCUGUGAAGGUGUGCUGUGAGGCAUGCUGGAGGUAUCAGAAGUGCGAAUGCUGACAUAAGUAACGAUAAAGCGGGUGAAAAGCCCGCUCGCCGGAAGACCAAGGGUUCCUGUCCAACGUUAAUCGGGGCAGGGUGAGUCGACCCCUAAGGCGAGGCCGAAAGGCGUAGUCGAUGGGAAACAGGUUAAUAUUCCUGUACUUGGUGUUACUGCGAAGGGGGGACGGAGAAGGCUAUGUUGGCCGGGCGACGGUUGUCCCGGUUUAAGCGUGUAGGCUGGUUUUCCA